CUUGAACGCUGGCGGCAGGCCUAACACAUGCAAGUCGAACGGUAGCACAGAGAGCUUGCUCUCGGGUGACGAGUGGCGGACGGGUGAGUAAUGUCUGGGAAACUGCCCGAUGGAGGGGGAUAACUACUGGAAACGGUAGCUAAUACCGCAUAACGUCGCAAGACCAAAGAGGGGGACCUUCGGGCCUCUUGCCAUCGGAUGUGCCCAGAUGGGAUUAGCUUGUUGGUGAGGUAAUGGCUCACCAAGGCGACGAUCCCUAGCUGUUCUGAGAGGAUGACCAGCCACACUGGAACUGAGACACGGUCCAGACUCCUACGGGAGGCAGCAGUGGGGGAAUAUUGCACAAUGGCGCAAGCCUUGAUGCAGCCAUGCCGCGUGUGUGAAGAAGGCCUUCGGUUUUAAAGCACUUUCAGCGGGGAGGAGGCAAUCCGGUUAAAAACCGGGUUGAUUGACGUUUCCCCCAAAAAAAGCCCCGGUUAAUUCUUGCCAAAAGCCCGGGGGAAUACGGGGGGGGCAACCGUUAAUCGGAAUACUGGGCGUAAAAGCCCCCCGGGCGGUUUUUGAAAGGCGGUUGGAAAAACCCCGGUUCAACCUGGGAACUUCGUUUCAAAAUUGGCCGGGUUUUGAUUUUUUUAAAGGGGGGGGAAAAAUUCCCGGGGUUGCGCGGUAAAAAACCACAAAAAAAUUUGGGGGGAAAGACCCGGGGGGGCAAGGGGGAGCCCUUUUGGCAAAAAAAAUUGCCCCUUUAAUUACCAAAAAGCGGGGGGGGGGCCAACCCGGGUUUUAAAACCCCCGUGGGGGGGCCUCCCCCCCGAAAAAAAAUUUUCCAGUUCGGGGGGGUUUACCCCUUUUGGUGGGGGGGUUUUUCCCGGGGAAAAACCCCCUUAAAAAAGACCCCCCUUGGGA
RNAcentral lists this ribosomal RNA (906 nucleotides) under Klebsiella sp. SENDO1. Its description in RNAcentral is "partial 16S ribosomal RNA". It matches the Rfam family "Bacterial small subunit ribosomal RNA". The record is from RNAcentral. Lineage: Bacteria; Pseudomonadati; Pseudomonadota; Gammaproteobacteria; Enterobacterales; Enterobacteriaceae.